This is a long non-coding RNA of Alligator sinensis (Chinese alligator), 1024 nucleotides long. RefSeq lists it as uncharacterized. The record is from RefSeq and is a predicted model, not a curated record. The transcript is spliced from 3 exons. NCBI's taxonomy places the organism in Eukaryota, Metazoa, Chordata, Crocodylia, Alligatoridae.
CAUGCCAUUAUCUGUCACAAACCUCCUGAAUGAACGCAACCGACUGGGGGCCAGUGGAGAGCUGGACAAUGCAACUCGGCGGUGUUUCAAUCAUGCCAUGCAGCUCCUGAAUGUCCAGUCCAACAGAAUACAGGACAAUACCACGCUGGUGCUUGACUAUGGCAUGGUCUCUGAAAAGAGUCAUCUACAUUGUUUGAGUGAAAUUAAGCAUGCGCAUUAUACAGAACGGAGAAGGUUCUAGAAGAUCAUGAACGCCUCACCUUUAUGAGGGAGUUGUGUGCAGAGAGAGGAGUCUCCGUUGUUGUAGUCUCUGUGAAGGGAGUGGUCCAGCAGAGCGGUCUCUGUGACUGAAGCUUGUUUGUCAUGGGCAUUCAGCUUUUCAUCUUCCCUUGGUCCAUCAUCAUCAGUUAUUGUGGUCAUCUGUCCCUAGAUCCCUAACUAGGCCGGAGUAAUUGAAGAACACACUUACCUGAGACAGAGGAGCGCCAAGGAAUUGGGUAAAGUAUCACCUUCCCAUGUGUAAGUGUGGGACAAGCUUGGGUGUUGCUAGUUGUGGGAGAAGUCCUGGGAGCAGUAGGGGUGUCUGUGUGGUUAUGUUGGGAGGUGAAAAUCUGUUCUUGCACAUAUUUGCAUAUAAAUGCUAUUAUCUGUGUAUAACCUUGCUAAUAGUUGUACUAAAUGUUGAACCAUUUGUAUGCUGUUCUGUGCUGAUGUGUUUGAUAUUUGGUGUGAUACCAUAUAGGUGUGUUAUACUUACCAUUUGAGUCUUUUGUUUUUCCGCUCUUUUUCCCAAAACCUAUAUAUAAGGUUUGCUGGACACCCCACCUUUGUCAUAAAUUUGUCAAACUUCAAUAGCAACACUUGUAAGUUAUCCAGCCACCCUCUUCUUAUCUGGCAGAGAUGUAGUUAUUUGGGUCCCACAUUAAUUAAAAUCUCUCUGUUCUCCAUAUUUGGUUUAACCAGUCAACCAGUCAUCAUAUUAAUUGGCCUCAAACUCUGCCAGCCGGUAAGUGAAAAACUACAG